UCAUUUUUUAUACGACCGCAAAAUUUGAAAAAAUUUUCGUCGUAUAUUGCUAUCACGUUGGCGUCGUCGUCGUCGUCGUCGUCGUCGUCCGAAUACUUUUAGUUUUCGCACUCUAACUUUAGUAAAAGUGAAUGGAAAUCUAUGAAAUUUUAACACAAGGUUUAUGACCACAAAAGGAAGGUUGGUAUUGAUUUUGGGAGUUGUGGUCCCAACAUUUUAGGAAUUAGGGGCCAAAAAGGGCCCAAAUAAGCAUUUUCUUGGUUUUCGCACUAUAACUUUAGUUUAAGUUAAUAGAAAUCUAUGAAAUUUUGACACAAGGUUUAUGACCACAAAAGAACGGUUGGGAUUGAUUUUGGGAGUUUUGGUUUCAACAGUUUAGGAAUUAGGGGCCAAAAAAGGGCCCAAAUAAGCAUUAUUCUUGGUUUUCGCACAAUAACUUUAGUUUAAGUAAAUAGAAAUCAAUGAAAUUUAAACACAAUGUUAAUGACUACAAAAGGAAGGUUGGUAUUGAUUUUGGGAGUUUAGGUCCCAACAGUUUAGGAAUUAGGGGCCAAAAAGGGACCCAAAUAAGCAUUUUUCUUGGUUUUCGCACCAUAACGUUAGUAUAAGUAAAUAGAA
RNAcentral lists this long non-coding RNA (618 nucleotides) under Mytilus galloprovincialis (Mediterranean mussel). The record is from RNAcentral. Lineage: Eukaryota; Metazoa; Mollusca; Bivalvia; Mytilida; Mytilidae.